Molecule: ribosomal RNA, 422 nt
Filed under: uncultured bacterium
Lineage: Bacteria
Description: bacterial SSU rRNA
Rfam family: Bacterial small subunit ribosomal RNA
Source: RNAcentral
UAAGGAAUAUUGGUCAAUGGGCGGAAGCCUGAACCAGCCAUGCCGCGUGCAGGAAGACGGCCCUACGGGUUGUAAACUGCUUUUGUACCGGAAUAAACCUAUGUAUGUAUAUGUAGCUGAAUGUACGGUAAGAAUAAGGAUCGGCUAACUCCGUGCCAGCAGCCGCGGUAAUACGGAGGAUCCGAGCGUUAUCCGGAUUUAUUGGGUUUAAAGGGUGCGUAGGCGGCCUGUUAAGUCAGGGGUGAAAGACGGUAGCUCAACUAUCGCAGUGCCCUUGAUACUGAUGGGCUUGAAUGUACUAGAGGUAGGCGGAAUGUGACAAGUAGCGGUGAAAUGCAUAGAUAUGUCACAGAACACCAAUUGCGAAGGCAGCUUACUAUGGUAUGAUUGACGCUGAGGCACGAAGGCGUGGGGAUCAAACA